This 111-nucleotide ribosomal RNA is filed under the name Babesia sp. Xinjiang. Its description in RNAcentral is "large subunit ribosomal RNA". RNAcentral also lists the same sequence under 1 other name. Lineage: Eukaryota; Apicomplexa; Aconoidasida; Piroplasmida; Babesiidae. The record is from RNAcentral.
GAGCUGAUUACAAUUAUUGGCAAAAAGGUACGCCGGGGAUAACAGGUUAAAAAUUAACUAAAGUUCUUAUUUAGUUAAUUCAUUGACACCUCCAUGUCGUCUCACCAUACC